RNAcentral lists this ribosomal RNA (888 nucleotides) under Salmonella enterica subsp. enterica serovar Infantis. Its description in RNAcentral is "partial 23S ribosomal RNA". It matches the Rfam family "Bacterial large subunit ribosomal RNA", at positions 1 to 882 of the family's 2925-position model. The record is from RNAcentral. Lineage: Bacteria; Pseudomonadati; Pseudomonadota; Gammaproteobacteria; Enterobacterales; Enterobacteriaceae.
UUUGGUUAAGUUAGAAAGGGCGCACGGUGGAUGCCUUGACACUAGGAGUCGAUGAAGGACGGGACUAACGCCGAUAUGCUUCGGGGAGCUGUAAGUAAGCUUUGAUCCGAAGAUUUCCGAAUGGGGAAACCCACUAUACGUAAUGGUAUGGUAUCCUUACCUGAAUACAUAGGGUAUGGAAGACAGACCCAGGGAACUGAAACAUCUAAGUACCUGGAGGAAGAGAAAGCAAAUGCGAUUUCCUGAGUAGCGGCGAGCGAAACGGAAUCUAGCCCAAACCAAGAGGCUUGCCUCUUGGGGUUGUAGGACAUUCUAUACGGAGUUACAAAGGAACGAGGUAGACGAAGCGACCUGGAAAGGUCCGUCACAGAGGGUAAUAACCCCGUAGUCGAAACUUCGUUCUCUCUUGAAUGUAUCCUGAGUACGGCGGAACACGUGAAAUUCCGUCGGAAUCUGGGAGGACCAUCUCCCAAGGCUAAAUACUCCCUAGUGAUCGAUAGUGAACCAGUACCGUGAGGGAAAGGUGAAAAGCACCCCGGAAGGGGAGUGAAAGAGAUCCUGAAACCGUGUGCCUACAAAUAGUCAGAGCCCGUUAAUGGGUGAUGGCGUGCCUUUUGUAGAAUGAACCGGCGAGUUACGAUCCCGUGCGAGGUUAAGCUGAAGAGGCGGAGCCGCAGCGAAAGCGAGUCUGAAUAGGGCGUUUAGUACGUGGUCGUAGACCCGAAACCAGGUGAUCUACCCAUGUCCAGGGUGAAGUUCAGGUAACACUGAAUGGAGGCCCGAACCCACGCACGUUGAAAAGUGCGGGGAUGAGGUGUGGGUAGCGGAGAAAUUCCAAUCGAACCUGGAGAUAGCUGGUUCUCCCCGAAAUAGCUUUAGGGCUAGCCU